GAAUGGCAAGGGGUGUUGCAACCUCCUAGAAUGGCGGANUGGUGAGUAANAGUGGGUGACAUACCUUCAGGACGGGGAUAGCUUCUAGAAAUAGAAGAUAAUACCGGAUACGACCACUACCGUUAGAGGGUAGUGAGGAAAGGGGCUACGGCCCCGCCUGAGGAAUGGCCCGCGGCCCAUUAGCUUGUUGGUGAGGUAACGGCCCACCAAGGCGAUGACGGGUAUCCGGCCUAAGAGGGUGAACGGACACAUUGGGACUGAGAUACGGCCCAGACUCCUACGGGAGGCAGCAGCUAAGAAUAUUCCGCAAUGGGCGAAAGCCUGACGGAGCGACGCCGCGUGGAUGAUGAAGGCCGUGAGGUUGUAAAGUCCUUUUGAACCUGACGAAUAAGCGCGGGAGGGAAUGCCCGCGUGGUGACGUUAGGGNUCGAAUAAGC
Molecule: ribosomal RNA, 437 nt
Filed under: uncultured Treponema clone RFS104p
Lineage: Bacteria; Pseudomonadati; Spirochaetota; Spirochaetia; Treponematales; Treponemataceae
Description: bacterial SSU rRNA
Rfam family: Bacterial small subunit ribosomal RNA
Source: RNAcentral